Molecule: ribosomal RNA, 233 nt
Filed under: uncultured bacterium
Lineage: Bacteria
Description: partial 16S ribosomal RNA
Rfam family: Bacterial small subunit ribosomal RNA
Source: RNAcentral
UGAGGAACAUGACCUUCGGCGGGGGAUAGCCGGCCCAACGGCCGGGUAAUACCGCGUACGACCACUUUGGGACAUCCCUAGGUGGUGAAAGCAGCAAUGCGCCGAUGGAGUGCCUCGCGGCCUAUCAGUUAGUUGGUGAGGUAACGGCUCACCAAGGCGACGACGGGUAGCUGGUCUGAGAGGAUGGCCAGCCACAUUGGGACUGAGACACGGCCCAGACCUCCUACGGGAGG